Molecule: long non-coding RNA, 1654 nt
Filed under: Pan troglodytes (chimpanzee)
Lineage: Eukaryota; Metazoa; Chordata; Mammalia; Primates; Hominidae
Description: long non-coding RNA NONPTRT000973
Source: RNAcentral
CCCAUCUCGGCCUCCCAAAGUGCUGGGAUUACAGGAGUGAGCCACCACGCCCAGCCAUUGUUUAGUAAUUUCUUAAGCAAACCUACUUGUUGUGGUAAAGCCAUAGCCAGCCCAGCUCCUAUAUCAGUUUGUCACAGAAUCUAAGGUCAGAAUUUGUGAGGUCUUAAAGAGAGCAAAAGGAAUGCUUACUUGAGAAUACCAGUUCAUAUUUAAUUACUACUAAUCACAGUAGCACUGAACAUGGCUCUAGUGAGUGGGCCUCAGUCAGUUCAGGCAGCUAAAGGGAGGGGGAUUUCCUCCUAGUCCUCUCCCUAGAGCUUAAUAUGCAUCUGAGAAAAAUUAGGCCACACCAGAAAAGGAAAGCUGGGUCCUGGAAGCUUCAGGACAGGAACUCUUCCUUGGUCAAGUUUUCCCCAGCACCUAGCACAUAGGAAGGUGCUUGAUGAGUGAGUGUUAAAUGAACCUGUGAGUGCUCAGGAUGAUUUCCUGAUAAUUGGGGUCAGGAAUCUACUGGGAGGAGCUUAAACCUAGAAGUUCCCUUUCUGAAAGUCUCAAAUAUGGUUCCCUAACUUAGAGAAGACAGAUGAUGUGGGAAGGAGGCCUGAGGAGAGGAUGCAGGCUGGCAGAAGGGAGCAGGGUGCAUGCGAGCCCAGACCCUGACACCCUUCCAAGGGUGGUGACUGGGUGGCCACUACACAGCACCAGCCUGCUGCAGAGUUCAAAACUAGAAGGGGUUACAUGAAAGUGUUCCCAGGAUGUGGAGCUGCCCUGGGCUAAGUUCAGUCACCUGCCAGCUUCUGCCGUUCCCAUCACCACAGAGCACCUCAGCACCACUCGCCUGAGGAACGGGCUCUGUGUUGCACAGGCCCAUGCCUGACGGCCCACCCAGAAACACCCAUCUGCUGACCUCUGACCUGGGAACGAGUGAGUGGCUACAACCUCAGCUGAACCCCACACGGUGACAUCUUCCAGCAAGGCAAGGACAUCAGCACCUCACGCCCAUUUACAGGCCCCUCACAUGAGCCACUGCUCCUUCUCUUUGAUGAAGUGCUCCGCCCAGCGGCGUGUCAGCUCCAGGUACAGGCUGGGCUGGUGAGGCAGGUAGUCCAAAUACAGGCGGGUGGGUGUCUUCUUGGGAAUGGCCUUCUCAAUCUGGGUGCCCUCGUGCCACUCAUUGAAGGAGGUAAUGGAAACGAUCUCGGGCCUCACUGUCAGGGCCGCCUGCAGGGCCGUCUCAUAGUACUUGCCAUUGACCCUGUUGCGCGUAUUGUGGUUGUUCCAGGGCCGAAUGCUGGUGUCUAUGUAGCCAGGCCCCACACUGGGGAUGAACAUGAGGUUGUUGGCAUCACAAAAGUUCUUCACAGCUUUCCAGUUCUGAUGGGAAGAACCAAAGGAGAAACCAUUGGAGGCAAAGUAGGUGUACAUGCCGUCAAAUCCGGCAGCCAGGAUGUCGUGGGUGUGGCCCUCCUCCACCAGCAGCGCUAUGAAGACCCCAUCGUAGGGCGUGUUGCGGAUCGAAUGGGGCCCGUUUGGUGUCAGGAGGUGGGCCCAGGCCUCAGGGGACGUCAGGUAUGAGUCGUAGAUAUAAAAGAGUGGGAGGCUCUUGCCCAUGCUGUUCUUAUAGCGGUAAAAUGCACCAUGGGAGCCAUACCUG